This 253-nucleotide ribosomal RNA is filed under the name uncultured bacterium. RNAcentral describes it as "partial 16S ribosomal RNA". It matches the Rfam family "Bacterial small subunit ribosomal RNA", at positions 524 to 776 of the family's 1533-position model. The record is from RNAcentral.
GACAGAGGGGGCAAGCGUUGCUCGGAAUCACUGGGCGUAAAGGGCGUGUAGGCGGGAUGGCAAGUCAGGCGUGAAAUCUCUCGACUCAACCGAGAAACGUCGGCUGAUACUGCCGUUCUUGAGGGAUGCAGAGGAGACUGGAAUUCCCGGUGUAGCGGUGAAAUGUGUAGAGAUCGGGAGGAACACCGGUGGCGAAGGCGGGUCUCUGGGCAUUUCCUGACGCUGAGGCGCGAAAGCGUGGGGAGCAAACAGG